Molecule: long non-coding RNA, 269 nt
Filed under: Eucalyptus grandis
Lineage: Eukaryota; Viridiplantae; Streptophyta; Magnoliopsida; Myrtales; Myrtaceae
Description: long non-coding RNA (EGRA_LNC000747)
Source: RNAcentral
UUUCUACCCAAAUGAAUCGUUAGUUUUGCGUACGUGCUUAUCAAACACCCAUAAAAAUAUCUCUCUCCCUCUCCACUUGAACUUGAACUUGCACAAUGAGCUCCGCCCAAUCACCCACUAGAUAUGGUCAAGCGUAGUUGCGGCUUUGAGCUUGAUGCCUCUAUUGUCACGGGUGUCGGUGGUGUUGGUUGAGGCAGUGGCAGCGCCCAUCGAGGACAUGGAUGGUGAUGUUGAUUGGCAAGUAUGGUUGAGAGACAGAGAAAGAAAGA